GAUGAACGCUGGCGGCGUGCCUAAUACAUGCAAGUCGAGCGAACGGACGAGAAGCUUGCUUCUCUGAUGUUAGCGGCGGACGGGUGAGUAACACGUGGAUAACCUACCUAUAAGACUGGGAUAACUUCGGGAAACCGGAGCUAAUACCGGAUAAUAUUUUGAACCGCAUGGUUCAAAAGUGAAAGACGGUCUUGCUGUCACUUAUAGAUGGAUCCGCGCUGCAUUAGCUAGUUGGUAAGGUAACGGCUUACCAAGGCAACGAUGCAUAGCCGACCUGAGAGGGUGAUCGGCCACACUGGAACUGAGACACGGUCCAGACUCCUACGGGAGGCAGCAGUAGGGAAUCUGCCGCAAUGGGCGAAAGCCUGACGGAGCAACGCCGCGUGAGUGAUGAAGGUCGUCGGAUCGUAAAACUCUGUUAUUAGGGAAGAACAUAUGUGUAAGUAACUGUGCACAUCUUGACGGUACCUAAUCAGAAAGCCACGGCUAACUACGUG
This 497-nucleotide ribosomal RNA is filed under the name uncultured bacterium. RNAcentral describes it as "partial 16S ribosomal RNA". It matches the Rfam family "Bacterial small subunit ribosomal RNA", at positions 28 to 507 of the family's 1533-position model. The record is from RNAcentral.